This 253-nucleotide ribosomal RNA is filed under the name uncultured bacterium. RNAcentral's name for it is "partial 16S ribosomal RNA". It matches the Rfam family "Bacterial small subunit ribosomal RNA", at positions 524 to 776 of the family's 1533-position model. The record is from RNAcentral.
UACAGAGGUCCCAAGCGUUGUCCGGAAUUACUGGGCGUAAAGAGCUCGUAGGUGGUUUGUCGCGUUGUUCGUGAAAACCGGGGGCUUAACCCUCGGCGUGCGGGCGAUACGGGCAGACUUGAGUACUGCAGGGGAGACUGGAAUUCCUGGUGUAGCGGUGGAAUGCGCAGAUAUCAGGAGGAACACCGGUGGCGAAGGCGGGUCUCUGGGCAGUAACUGACGCUGAGGAGCGAAAGCGUGGGGAGCAAACAGG